RNAcentral lists this ribosomal RNA (254 nucleotides) under uncultured bacterium. Its description in RNAcentral is "partial 16S ribosomal RNA". It matches the Rfam family "Bacterial small subunit ribosomal RNA", at positions 524 to 776 of the family's 1533-position model. The record is from RNAcentral.
UACGAAGGGGGCUAGCGUUGUUCGGAAUUACUGGGCGUAAAGCGUGCGCAGGCGGCUUCUCAAGUCAGGGGUGAAAGCCCAGAGCUCAACUCUGGAAUUGCCUUUGAGACUGAGUGGCUUGAGUACGGGAGAGGUGAGUGGAAUUCCCAGUGUAGAGGUGAAAAUUCGUAGAUAUUGGGAAGAACACCGGUGGCGAAGGCGGCUCACUGGCCCGUAACUGACGCUCAUGCACGACAGCGUGGGGAUCAAACAGG